RNAcentral lists this ribosomal RNA (118 nucleotides) under Bombella apis. Its description in RNAcentral is "partial 16S ribosomal RNA". It matches the Rfam family "Bacterial small subunit ribosomal RNA", at positions 1 to 130 of the family's 1533-position model. The record is from RNAcentral. Lineage: Bacteria; Pseudomonadati; Pseudomonadota; Alphaproteobacteria; Acetobacterales; Acetobacteraceae.
GAACCUGAGAGUUUGAUCCUGGCUCAGAGCGAACGCUGGCGGCAUGCUUAACACAUGCAAGUCGCACGAACCUUUCGGGGUUAGUGGCGGACGGGUGAGUAACGCGUAGGAACCUAUC